This 2199-nucleotide ribosomal RNA is filed under the name Bacillus cereus. RNAcentral describes it as "partial 23S ribosomal RNA". It matches the Rfam family "Bacterial large subunit ribosomal RNA", at positions 721 to 2925 of the family's 2925-position model. Lineage: Bacteria; Bacillati; Bacillota; Bacilli; Caryophanales; Bacillaceae. The record is from RNAcentral.
CCAGGUGAUCUACCCAUGUCCAGGGUGAAGUUCAGGUAACACUGAAUGGAGGCCCGAACCCACGCACGUUGAAAAGUGCGGGGAUGAGGUGUGGGUAGCGGAGAAAUUCCAAUCGAACCUGGAGAUAGCUGGUUCUCCCCGAAAUAGCUUUAGGGCUAGCCUUAAGUGUAAGAGUCUUGGAGGUAGAGCACUGAUUGAACUAGGGGUCCUCAUCGGAUUACCGAAUUCAGUCAAACUCCGAAUGCCAAUGACUUAUCCUUAGGAGUCAGACUGCGAGUGAUAAGAUCCGUAGUCAAGAGGGAAACAGCCCAGAUCGCCAGCUAAGGUCCCAAAGUGUGUAUUAAGUGGAAAAGGAUGUGGAGUUGCUUAGACAACUAGGAUGUUGGCUCAGAAGCAGCCACCAUUUAAAGAGUGCGUAAUAGCUCACUAGUCGAGUGACUCUGCGCCGAAAAUGUACCGGGGCUAAAUACACCACCGAAGCUGCGAAUUGAUACCAAUGGUAUCAGUGGUAGGGGAGCGUUCUAAGUGCAGUGAAGUCAGACCGGAAGGACUGGUGGAGCGCUUAGAAGUGAGAAUGCCGGUAUGAGUAGCGAAAGACGGGUGAGAAUCCCGUCCACCGAAUGCCUAAGGUUUCCUGAGGAAGGCUCGUCCGCUCAGGGUUAGUCAGGACCUAAGCCGAGGCCGACAGGCGUAGGCGAUGGACAACAGGUUGAUAUUCCUGUACCACCUCUUUAUCGUUUGAGCAAUGGAGGGACGCAGAAGGAUAGAAGAAGCGUGCGAUUGGUUGUGCACGUCCAAGCAGUUAGGCUGAUAAGUAGGCAAAUCCGCUUAUCGUGAAGGCUGAGCUGUGAUGGGGAAGCUCCUUAUGGAGCGAAGUCUUUGAUUCCCCGCUGCCAAGAAAAGCUUCUAGCGAGAUAAAAGGUGCCUGUACCGCAAACCGACACAGGUAGGCGAGGAGAGAAUCCUAAGGUGUGCGAGAGAACUCUGGUUAAGGAACUCGGCAAAAUGACCCCGUAACUUCGGGAGAAGGGGUGCUUUCUUAACGGAAAGCCGCAGUGAAUAGGCCCAAGCGACUGUUUAGCAAAAACACAGGUCUCUGCGAAGCCGUAAGGCGAAGUAUAGGGGCUGACACCUGCCCGGUGCUGGAAGGUUAAGGAGAGGGGUUAGCGUAAGCGAAGCUCUGAACUGAAGCCCCAGUAAACGGCGGCCGUAACUAUAACGGUCCUAAGGUAGCGAAAUUCCUUGUCGGGUAAGUUCCGACCCGCACGAAAGGUGUAACGAUUUGGGCACUGUCUCAACCAGAGACUCGGUGAAAUUAUAGUACCUGUGAAGAUGCAGGUUACCCGCGACAGGACGGAAAGACCCCGUGGAGCUUUACUGUAGCCUGAUAUUGAAUUUUGGUACAGUUUGUACAGGAUAGGCGGGAGCCAUUGAAACCGGAGCGCUAGCUUCGGUGGAGGCGCUGGUGGGAUACCGCCCUGACUGUAUUGAAAUUCUAACCUACGGGUCUUAUCGACCCGGGAGACAGUGUCAGGUGGGCAGUUUGACUGGGGCGGUCGCCUCCUAAAGUGUAACGGAGGCGCCCAAAGGUUCCCUCAGAAUGGUUGGAAAUCAUUCGUAGAGUGCAAAGGCAUAAGGGAGCUUGACUGCGAGACCUACAAGUCGAGCAGGGACGAAAGUCGGGCUUAGUGAUCCGGUGGUUCCGCAUGGAAGGGCCAUCGCUCAACGGAUAAAAGCUACCCCGGGGAUAACAGGCUUAUCUCCCCCAAGAGUCCACAUCGACGGGGAGGUUUGGCACCUCGAUGUCGGCUCAUCGCAUCCUGGGGCUGUAGUCGGUCCCAAGGGUUGGGCUGUUCGCCCAUUAAAGCGGUACGCGAGCUGGGUUCAGAACGUCGUGAGACAGUUCGGUCCCUAUCCGUCGUGGGCGCAGGAAAUUUGAGAGGAGCUGUCCUUAGUACGAGAGGACCGGGAUGGACGCACCGCUGGUGUACCAGUUGUUCUGCCAAGGGCAUAGCUGGGUAGCUAUGUGCGGAAGGGAUAAGUGCUGAAAGCAUCUAAGCAUGAAGCCCCCCUCAAGAUGAGAUUUCCCAUAGCGUAAGCUAGUAAGAUCCCUGAAAGAUGAUCAGGUUGAUAGGUUCGAGGUGGAAGCAUGGUGACAUGUGGAGCUGACGAAUACUAAUAGAUCGAGGACUUAACCAU